GCUGUGGCUCAGUGGUAGAGUGCUUGCCUAGCAUAUGUGAGGAACUGGAUUCGAUCCUCAGCAUUGCA
This 68-nucleotide transfer RNA is filed under the name Marmota monax (woodchuck). RNAcentral's name for it is "tRNA.Ala". Lineage: Eukaryota; Metazoa; Chordata; Mammalia; Rodentia; Sciuridae. The record is from RNAcentral.